AUCGCUUCUCGGCCUUUUGGCUAAGAUCAAGUGUAGAAUGUUUUAAAAGUUAUAAUGUUAUUAGGCAAAACACUU
This 75-nucleotide small nuclear RNA is filed under the name Catagonus wagneri (Chacoan peccary). RNAcentral's name for it is "U2 spliceosomal RNA (ENSCWAG00000006754.1)". It matches the Rfam family "U2 spliceosomal RNA", at positions 1 to 117 of the family's 192-position model. Rfam says of the family: U2 is a small nuclear RNA (snRNA) component of the spliceosome (involved in pre-mRNA splicing). Complementary binding between U2 snRNA (in an area lying towards the 5' end but 3' to hairpin I) and the branchpoint sequence (BPS) of the intron results the bulging out of an unpaired adenosine, on the BPS, which initiates a nucleophilic attack at the intronic 5' splice site, thus starting the first of two transesterification reactions that mediate splicing. The record is from RNAcentral. Lineage: Eukaryota; Metazoa; Chordata; Mammalia; Artiodactyla; Tayassuidae.